RNAcentral lists this ribosomal RNA (735 nucleotides) under Acinetobacter baylyi. RNAcentral describes it as "bacterial SSU rRNA". It matches the Rfam family "Bacterial small subunit ribosomal RNA", at positions 54 to 781 of the family's 1533-position model. Lineage: Bacteria; Pseudomonadati; Pseudomonadota; Gammaproteobacteria; Moraxellales; Moraxellaceae. The record is from RNAcentral.
CAUGCAGUCGAGCGGGGGGAGGUGCUUCGGUACUGACCUUAGCGGCGGACGGGUGAGUAAUGCUUAGGAAUCUGCCUAUUAGUGGGGGACAACAUCUCGAAAGGGAUGCUAAUACCGCAUACGUCCUACGGGAGAAAGCAGGGGAUCACUUGUGACCUUGCGCUAAUAGAUGAGCCUAAGUCGGAUUAGCUAGUUGGUGGGGUAAAGGCCUACCAAGGCGACGAUCUGUAGCGGGUCUGAGAGGAUGAUCCGCCACACUGGGACUGAGACACGGCCCAGACUCCUACGGGAGGCAGCAGUGGGGAAUAUUGGACAAUGGGGGGAACCCUGAUCCAGCCAUGCCGCGUGUGUGAAGAAGGCCUUAUGGUUGUAAAGCACUUUAAGCGAGGAGGAGGCUCUUUUGGUUAAUACCCAAGAUGAGUGGACGUUACUCGCAGAAUAAGCACCGGCUAACUCUGUGCCAGCAGCCGCGGUAAUACAGAGGGUGCAAGCGUUAAUCGGAUUUACUGGGCGUAAAGCGCGCGUAGGCGGCCAAUUAAGUCAAAUGUGAAAUCCCCGAGCUUAACUUGGGAAUUGCAUUCGAUACUGGUUGGCUAGAGUGUGGGAGAGGAUGGUAGAAUUCCAGGUGUAGCGGUGAAAUGCGUAGAGAUCUGGAGGAAUACCGAUGGCGAAGGCAGCCAUCUGGCCUAACACUGACGCUGAGGUGCGAAAGCAUGGGGGAGCAAACAGGAUUAG